Molecule: ribosomal RNA, 461 nt
Filed under: uncultured bacterium
Lineage: Bacteria
Description: partial 16S ribosomal RNA
Rfam family: Bacterial small subunit ribosomal RNA
Source: RNAcentral
CCUACGGGUGGCAGCAGUGAGGAAUAUUGGUCAAUGGGCUUACGCCUGAACCAGCCAAGUCGCGUGAGGGAAGACUGCCCUAUGGGUUGUAAACCUCUUUUGUCAGGGAGCAAAGCCGGCUACGUGUAGCCGGACGGAGAGUACCUGAAGAAAAAGCAUGGGCUAACUCAGUGCCAGCAGCCGAGGUACGACGUAGGAUGCGAGCGUUAUCCGGAUUUAUUGGGUUUAAUGGGUGCGUAGGCGGUCGGAUAAGUUAGAGGUGAAAUCCCGAGGCUCAACUUCGGAAUUGCCUCUGAUACUGUUCGGCUAGAGAGUAGUUGCGGUAGGCGGAAUGUAUGGUGUAGCGGUGAAAUGCUUAGAGUUCAUACAGAACACCGAUUGCGAAGGCAGCUUACCAAGCUACUUCUGACGUUGAGGCACGAAAGCGUGGGGAGCAAACAGGAUUAGAUACCCCAGUAGUC